AUUGGCAAUAAACGAGUCAUCUAAAUACACAGUAUAAAAAAUAUCAUAAAAAUUAAUAAAAUCUAUUAUAAGUGAAAUUGAGAAAGGAAAUGGGGAAUGUGUCAAAGCGACAACAACCCGACCAUAGAGUAGACAACAGCCGAAGGCCACCAAUGGGUCUUCAAUGUAGCGAGAAACUCCCGCACCGGAGGCGUCCUUCAGCUGGCCCCUUAAAAAAUAUGUAUACUAGUACAGUGAUAAUGGACGUCAUACUAAACUUCGAAUUAUACACAAAAAACUAAAAUUAAAAAUCAUACAAGACUAACAAAGGCCAGUGGCUCCUGACUUGGGACAGGCGCAAAAUUGCGGCGGGGUUAAACAUGUUAAUGAGAUCUCAACCCUCCCUUAUACCUCUAGCCAAUGUAGAAAAGUAAACGCAUAACAAUACACAC
Molecule: long non-coding RNA, 431 nt
Filed under: Mytilus galloprovincialis (Mediterranean mussel)
Lineage: Eukaryota; Metazoa; Mollusca; Bivalvia; Mytilida; Mytilidae
Source: RNAcentral